RNAcentral lists this ribosomal RNA (206 nucleotides) under Bacillus anthracis (anthrax bacterium). Its description in RNAcentral is "partial 16S ribosomal RNA". It matches the Rfam family "Bacterial small subunit ribosomal RNA", at positions 556 to 761 of the family's 1533-position model. The record is from RNAcentral. Lineage: Bacteria; Bacillati; Bacillota; Bacilli; Caryophanales; Bacillaceae.
GGGCGUAAGCGCGCGCAGGUGGUUUCUUAAGUCUGAUGUGAAAGCCCACGCCCUUUACCGGGGAGGGUCAUUGGAAACUGGAAGACUUGAGCGCAGAAGAGGAAAGUGGAAUUCCAUGUGUAGCGGAGAAAUGCAUAGAGAUAUGGACGAACCCCAGUGGCGAAAGUUACUUUUUGGUCUGUAACUGACACUGACGCGCGAAAGCG